Molecule: long non-coding RNA, 115 nt
Organism: Thalassophryne amazonica
Lineage: Eukaryota; Metazoa; Chordata; Actinopteri; Batrachoidiformes; Batrachoididae
Exons: 3
Source: RefSeq, a predicted model, not a curated record
UUCUGCUGCCAGCUAGGUGAGGCUAAAAUAGACUUGAAGUCUAUUUUAUGCAAAUACUGAGCGAUGCAAAAUGACGACUGCCAAUCCGAGUGAACAGGCAGUGUGAAGUCAGCAG